CGUCAAAUGUGUCCCAAUUGUUUUUCACUAGUACAUGGUAUAGAUUGCUUCCCAGUUGAGGAAUGAUGACAUGAAUAAAAACCAAUAAAGGUGAAACCCUUUCUAAAUCUGCCCGAAAAAAAUCUGUUACCUGGUAUGCUAAACAUUGCUAAUUCUGAAAUUGAUGAUGGGUUGAACACAAAACGAAAGCUCUUAGAAAAAUUAUUGAGAUGCUGAUGGUGAUGCAGUCAACUCAAAUGAAUGGCGGUAAUAUUGGUCAUUGAUAAGUUUACUAUUACCAUAAGACGACACGAAUCAAUGCUUAACUUGCUUGCAAGAUCGUCGUUUGCAAAUCAGAUUCCAAAUUUGAAUUAUUAAAUCUUGUCCAAUACAACCUCAGUGAUAUAGCCUGGCUGAUUUACAAGAGUCCUCGCAGGCUAGAACUGCUGCCAGAAGAUGACAAAUUUGUUCCUGAAGGUUGAUAAAAAAAGAAAACGAGGACUACUCGACUGGACUAAGGCUGAAAGGGAAUGAUUGGAGGAACACUCAACUUCAACCACGGUGCUCGAAAACCGAACGUGAAUUAACCUUCUUGCGUAUUUAGCUUGUUUAGGUGUGAAACAUUUAAUGUUUUACAACCGAGGUGCAAUCUUGGAUCUUCACUCUGAUUUCAAAUUUAACCAGGAAAGCAUACUUGCCUGGUAAUUGAAGCCGAUUGAGCAAAAGCUGGUUUUUGCAAACUAUCAUAUCACAGCUUCAUGCUUGGGUGGCCCAUUUCUCUAAAAAGAGAAUUUUAAUGAAGCAGCCAAGCUCGUGAAGGAGAUAAAGGCAAGGAACAAUCUAUGAAGCAUAAUUCUCAUCAGUCUAGAUUGCAUCUUGCGGACUGUAAUGUCAUUCAGCUCUGGCAGUGCUUCGGUUAAGUGUUUGAAUUACUGUGCCAAGAAGACAUCGUAGGCGCAAAACUGAUUUUUGUGUUUACUCUGACUUCUGGAAUACAAGGCUAUGGUAAAUUAUUGAUGAACAAUCUUUGAUGUUGUCUCAUGAUUUGAAACACGGUAAAGCAUGACGAUGAUUCAACCUUUUGAAAGAGGAAGUUAUUUUUUGGGUGUGGGGUUCUUUUUCAGUCCCUUUUCCCAAUAUGCAACAACCUAAUGAAAGAUUAAGCUAAAGAAGAUCAAGUGAUAACAGCUGAAUUAACUGGAUCUAGUUAUCGUCCUUGCAAGAUUUCAGCGACGCUAAUGGAAGGAUCGGAGAAAUAUUGCAGAUAAUGCAGCAAUAGUACAUAUAGGCGGAGAAUGAUUCAUAAUUUCAUAUCCUCUACAACAUACUUUAUUAAUAUUAUUAUUAUUAUUAGGCAAAAUUAUAAGAAACUACCUAAUUUUUACCUCUUUUUGUAAAAAACUACUUUAUGUAAAAUUUUUUGCAAAAAACUAAAUUUCUUUGCAAAACACUACCUUAUAACGGUUUUUACCUUUUGACCGUUUAAUUUAACCGUUGACCGUCAUGUGACAGUCACGUGAUUCUAUAAACCCAAUCUUCUUCAUUUUAGCGUUUUUCAUUCAUUUCUUGCUGCUUGUUCAUUCGAAAAACUCCAUUAAAUUCCGACUUAACUCAUCUAAUUUUUCUUAAUUUGAUGUGAAAGUUUUGAGGAAUUUGUUUUAGAUUAUAGAGUAAUUUUAAAUAUGAACAAUGUAUGUUUAAAAAUGAUAAUUUUUAAUUGGGUAAGUUAUUUUUCACCUGAUUUCAAAUUUCCUUCUGAAAAGUUACUUUUUUUCUGAAAACAUGAAGGAAUGUGAAAGCUAGAACUGUUAAGAUGAACUAUGAAUUUUUUACUGCUUGUUGGCUCAGAAAUAUCUCAGUGUUAGAACCUGCAGAAUUCAAACUGAUGUGUAUUUAAAGUGUCAUGAAAUAUGCUUAGUGUUAUGAAGAAUUAUUUGAAUAUACCCAAAAAAGGCAAAAGAAAUUGGAGAGGUUGUAGAUUAACCGUUGUGAAAACGUAAUCUUGCAGUGGAGUUGAUGAACACGGGCAGUCAAAGGUCGAUGGGUGGAGGGGUUCAUGAUGUAUUGGAUUGUUUGAAGCGAAUGCACUCCGAGAAUCCUAACUUUUAUUUUGCAAUUCAGGGUGAUCAUGAUCCUUCCAUUGCCAAUAUUUUCUGGGCUGAUGCAGCUUCCCGGAUUAACUAUACCUAUUUUGGUGAUACUGUCGUUUUUGAUACCUCAUUCCGUAGUAAUGGUUAUAAAGUUCCAUUUGCGACAUUUACCGGAAUAAAUCAUCAUGGGCGCCAGUAGCCCAGUACUUUUUGGGUGUUCUUUGCUGCUUAAUGAAUCAGAGGCUGCCUACAUUUGGCUGUUCCAAACAUGGCUUCAUGCAAUGUCGGGGAGAACCCCAGUCUCAAUCACAACAGAGCCGGAUGGAUUUGUGCAGAAGGCGGUAUCUGAGGUCUUGCCUAAUAGUAAUACACGGCUUUGUUAUUGCAAAUGGGGCAUGUUCAGAGAGACUCAGAACCGUUUGGGUCAUGUUUAUCAAUCACAUCCUACAUUUGAGGCGGAAUUCAAGAAGUGUAUAAUGGGAGUGACCGAGUGAGACAAUUGGGGAAUUUGAAUCUCGAUGGAGGAUGCUACAGGAAUGAGUUUUUCGAAUGAACAAGCAGCAAGAAAUGAAUGAAAAACGCUGAAAUGAAGAAGAAUAUUGGGUUUAUAGAAUUACGUGACUGUCAUUUGAUGGUCAACGGUUAAAUUAAACGGUCAAAGGGUAAAAAUCAUUAUAAGGUAAUGUUUUGCAAAGAAAUAUAUUAUAUAAGGUAGUUUUUUGCAAAAAAUUUUACAUAAGGUAGUUUUUAACA
Amaranthus tricolor (Joseph's coat) is the source of this 2822-nucleotide long non-coding RNA. RefSeq lists it as uncharacterized. The transcript has 5 exons. NCBI's taxonomy places the organism in Eukaryota, Viridiplantae, Streptophyta, Magnoliopsida, Caryophyllales, Amaranthaceae. The record is from RefSeq and is a predicted model, not a curated record.